UGACGGCUCAGUCGGUAGAGCAUGAGACUCUUAAUUUUUCAGGGUUGUGGGUUCGAGCCCCAUGCUGGGCAAAA
Non-coding RNA from Podarcis lilfordi (Lilford's wall lizard), 74 nucleotides. NCBI's taxonomy places the organism in Eukaryota, Metazoa, Chordata, Lepidosauria, Squamata, Lacertidae. The record is from the annotation of a GenBank genome assembly.